UACAGGGGGGGCAAGCGUUGUUCGGAAUUACUGGGCGUAAAGGGCUUGUAGGUGGCCAACUAAGUCCGACGUGAAAUCCCUAGGCUUAACCUAGGAACUGCGUCGGAUACUGGAUGGCUUGAAUCCGGGAGAGGGAUGCGGAAUUCCAGGUGUAGCGGUGAAAUGCGUAGAUAUCUGGAGGAACACCGGUGGCGAAGGCGGCACCCUGGACAGACACUGACGCUGAGGAGCGAAAGCCAGGGGAGCAAACGGG
RNAcentral lists this ribosomal RNA (253 nucleotides) under uncultured bacterium. RNAcentral describes it as "partial 16S ribosomal RNA". It matches the Rfam family "Bacterial small subunit ribosomal RNA", at positions 524 to 776 of the family's 1533-position model. The record is from RNAcentral.